This 274-nucleotide ribosomal RNA is filed under the name uncultured bacterium. RNAcentral's name for it is "partial 16S ribosomal RNA". It matches the Rfam family "Bacterial small subunit ribosomal RNA", at positions 523 to 796 of the family's 1533-position model. The record is from RNAcentral.
AGACGGGGGGGGCGAGCGUUGUUCGGAAUUACUGGGCGUAAAGGGCGCGCAGGCGGCCUGGGAAGUCUGGGGUGAAAGCCCCCAGCUCAACUGGGGAAUGGCCUGAGAAACCACUAGGCUCGAGUGCUGGAGAGGGAAGCGGAAUUCCCGGUGGAGCGGUGAAAUGCGUAGAUAUCGGGAGGAACACCAGAGGCGAAGGCGGCUUCCUGGACAGACACUGACGCUGAGGCGCGAAAGCUAGGGGAGCAAACGGGAUUAGAAACCCCGGUAGUCC